GGAGGUAACUUGAUAUUUUACUUUGAGAUAGGUCGGUCAUCAUCCAAUGAUUGUUGCAUGCCCCCGUGAAGGUAGAGGACGGAAAUUUUGGGGAGACAGUAAUUUGGAAAGCAAAUUUUAGGGUCGUUCAAUCCAGCUUGAUCCUGUUGGUUUUCUAACUCUCGAGUUUGAUGAUGGUGAAGUUUUUAAGUGGAGCAAGGUCACAACUUUUGUGUUCUACCAAUCACUAAUCACCAAAAAUUGGACUGUUCCCUUUCAGGAGAUAAUUGAUAUGGAUGAUGAAAUAUAUGAAGCUGUUGCAGGAAGUGACUUUGUCAUUACUAGAGUUGCAUUUCGUGACAACUCUUCAAAGUACUACAUAAAUGACCGUAGAAGUAAUUUUAUAGAGGUCACUAAGAAAUUGAAAGGAAAAGGAGUAGA
Long non-coding RNA from Magnolia sinica, 420 nucleotides. RefSeq lists it as uncharacterized. The record is from RefSeq and is a predicted model, not a curated record. NCBI's taxonomy places the organism in Eukaryota, Viridiplantae, Streptophyta, Magnoliopsida, Magnoliales, Magnoliaceae. The transcript is spliced from 3 exons.